RNAcentral lists this transfer RNA (67 nucleotides) under Bracteacoccus aerius. RNAcentral describes it as "tRNA-Arg". It matches the Rfam family "tRNA". From Rfam's summary of the family: Transfer RNA (tRNA) molecules are approximately 80 nucleotides in length. Their secondary structure includes four short double-helical elements and three loops (D, anti-codon, and T loops). Lineage: Eukaryota; Viridiplantae; Chlorophyta; Chlorophyceae; Sphaeropleales; Bracteacoccaceae. The record is from RNAcentral.
GGGCGUGUGGUUGGUCAACAGACGAUUUCCUAAAUCGUUCUACAAGGGUUCGACUCCCUUCAUGUCC